Molecule: ribosomal RNA, 506 nt
Filed under: uncultured bacterium
Lineage: Bacteria
Description: partial 16S ribosomal RNA
Rfam family: Bacterial small subunit ribosomal RNA
Source: RNAcentral
AUUGAACGCUGGCGGCAGGCCUAACACAUGCAAGUCGGACGGUAGCACAGGGGAGCUUGCUCCUCGGGUGACGAGUGGCGGACGGGUGCGUAAUGUCUGGGGAUCUGCCCGAUAGAGGGGGAUAACCACUGGAAACGGUGGCUAAUACCGCAUAAUGUCGCAAGACCAAAGAGGGGGACCUUCGGGCCUCUCACGAUCGGAUGAACCCAGAUGGGAUUAGCUAGUAGGCGGGGUAACGGCCAACCUAGGCGACGAUCCCCAGCUGGUCUGAGAGGAUGACCAGCCACACUGGAACUGAGACACGGUCCAGACUCCUACGGGAGGCAGCAGUGGGGAAUAUUGCACAAUGGGCGCAAGCCUGAUGCAGCCAUGCCGCGUGUAUGAAGAAGGCCUUCGGGUUGUAAAGUACUUUCAGCGGGGAGGAAGGCGAUGUGGUUAAUAACCGCGUCGAUUGACGUUACCCGCAGAAGAAGCACCGGCUAACUCCGUGCCAGCCGCCGCAGUAA